UGCCUAACACAUGCAAGUCGAACGAUGAAACCGCCCUCGGGCGGACAUGAAGUGGCGAACGGGUGAGUAACACGUGACCGACCUGCCCCCGCCCAGGGACAGCCCCCCGAAAGGGGGAUUAAUACCUGGUACUCCGGAAGCGGCGCAUGCCGCAUCCGGGAAAGCUCUUCGCGGCGGGGGAUGGGGUCGCGGCCCAUCAGGCAGACGGCGGGGUAGAGGCCCACCGUGCCGACGACGGGUAGCCGGGUUGAGAGACCGACCGGCCACAUUGGGACUGAGAUACGGCCCAGACUCC
RNAcentral lists this ribosomal RNA (295 nucleotides) under uncultured Coriobacteriaceae bacterium. Its description in RNAcentral is "partial 16S ribosomal RNA". It matches the Rfam family "Bacterial small subunit ribosomal RNA", at positions 45 to 339 of the family's 1533-position model. The record is from RNAcentral. Lineage: Bacteria; Bacillati; Actinomycetota; Coriobacteriia; Coriobacteriales; Coriobacteriaceae.